UGGGGAAUUUUGGACAAUGGGCGAAAGCCUGAUCCAGCAAUGCCGCGUGUGUGAAGAAGGCCUUCGGGUUGUAAAGCACUUUUGUCCGGAAAGAAAUCCUUGGCUCUAAUACAGUCGGGGGAUGACGGUACCGGAAGAAUAAGCACCGGCUAACUACGUGCCAGCAGCCGCGGUAAUACGUAGGGUGCAAGCGUUAAUCGGAAUUACUGGGCGUAAAGCGUGCGCAGGCGGUUUGCUAAGACCGGUGUGAAAUCCCCGGGCUCAACCUGGGAACUGCAUUGGUGACUGGCAGGCUAGAGUAUGGCAGAGGGGGGUAGAAUUCCACGUGUAGCAGUGAAAUGCGUAGAGAUGUGGAGGAAUACCGAUGGCGAAGGCAGCCCCCUGGGCCAAUACUGACGCUCAUGCACGAAAGCGUGGGGAGCAAACAGGAUUAGAUACCCUGGUAGUCCACGCCCUAAAACGAUGUCAACUAGUUGUUGGGGAUUCAUUUCCUUAGUAACGUAGCUAACGCGUGAAGUUGACCGCCUGGGGAGUACGGUCGCAAGAUUAAAACUCAAAUGAAUUGACGGGGUCAUAGCUGUUUCCU
Molecule: ribosomal RNA, 586 nt
Filed under: uncultured bacterium
Lineage: Bacteria
Description: partial 16S ribosomal RNA
Rfam family: Bacterial small subunit ribosomal RNA
Source: RNAcentral